CCAGAGUGUGCUACAAUAUGAUCCUGC
This 27-nucleotide non-coding RNA is filed under the name Homo sapiens (human). Lineage: Eukaryota; Metazoa; Chordata; Mammalia; Primates; Hominidae. The record is from RNAcentral.